RNAcentral lists this ribosomal RNA (253 nucleotides) under uncultured bacterium. Its description in RNAcentral is "partial 16S ribosomal RNA". It matches the Rfam family "Bacterial small subunit ribosomal RNA", at positions 524 to 776 of the family's 1533-position model. The record is from RNAcentral.
UACGAGGGGUGCAAGCGUUGCUCGGAAUUAUUGGGCGUAAAGGGUUGGUAGGUGGUCUUGUUUGUCUAAGGUGAAAUCCCAUGGCUUAACUGUGGAAGUGCCUUAGAAACGGCAAGACUAGAGUCCUAGAGGGGUUUGUGGAAUUCCCGGUGUAGCGGUGAAAUGCGUUGAUAUCAUCAGGAACACCAGAGGCGAAGGCGGCUCACUGGGUCUCUUCUGACGCUGAGGAACGAAAGCUAGGGGAGCAAACGGG